CCUACUAAAAACCCUCAACAGACCUCUGCCAAAAACAAAGAGCGCACAGAACCAAUGCCUCCUUUCCACUUGACCCUCCGCUCCGCCCACCGCCGCCACAUCACCCACCGAACCUUCUUCACCGACACCACCACCACCACAAACCGGGUCCGCGACCGCGGCCUCGACCACGUAGUGGAGCGGGAGAAAAACCUCCGGCCAAUCAUGAACAUCAAGAACCUGAUCAAAUCAGAGCCCUCCAAAUCCCUCCCCAUUUCCCUCCUCACCAAAUCCCGCCACUCCCUCCAAAUCCCCACCCGCCCCGUCGACUUCGUUCGCCAAUUCCCCUCCAUCUUCCAAGAGUUCCUCCCCGCCGGCCUCUCCUCCGUCCACCCCCACCUCCGCCUCACUCCGCAGCUCCUCGACAUCGACGCCAGAGAACAGCUCAUGUACCAGACCCACUCCUACUCCCACCAAGCCGCCGACCGCCUCUUCAAGCUGUUAAUGCUGGUCAGGAGCAACAGACUCCCUCUCAACGUCGUCGACCUUUUCAAAUGGGAUCUGGGCCUACCCGAGAAUUAUGUGGAGUCAAUCGUGCCGGAGUUUCCGGAUUAUUUUAAAGUUGUGACCGGGAAGCCGGAGCUGGAGAUGGUGUGCUGGAGUGAUGAGCUGGCCACUUCUGUCAUGGAGAAGAAAGCCAAAGCCAAAGGGGCAGUGCCGGCUGCGUUUCCGGUGCAGUUUUCGAGAGGGUUUGAGAUGGAUAAGAAGAUGAAGAAGUGGAUUGAUGAGUGGCAGAAGCUGCCGUAUGUGUCUCCUUAUGAGAAUGCAGCUCAUCUUUCGUCGCAGAGUGACGAAUCGGAUAAGUGGGCAGUUGCGGUUCUGCAUGAGCUGCUGCAUAUUUUGGUGCCGAAGAAGACUGAUAAGGAGAAUGUAUUGGCUCUUGGGGAGUAUUUGGGGAUACGAUCAAGGUUUAAGAGGGCGUUGCUUAACCAUCCGGGGAUAUUGUAUGUUUCGAGCAAGAACAGGACUCAUACUGUUGUGUUGAGAGAGGGGUAUAAGAGGGGUGCCAUUAUCGAGAAUCAUCCGCUGAUGGAUAUAAGAAGCGAGUACAUUCAUCUGAUGAAUGCUGUGAAAGAAGAUGAUAAAGGGGUUAGUUCGAAGGAGAAGAAGAGGAAGAGGACGAAGGGAGAUGAGGAUGUUAAAGGGGAGGAUGUAGAUGAGGACGAUGACGAUGAAAAUGUGGAAGAGCUGGGAGGGGAGUUGCGUGAUUCGUCUGAGGGUGAAGUCGAGCAUGAUGAGGUUGAUGGUGGAGAGGAUGAGGAGGAGGAUGAAGACGAUGAUGAGGAAGAAGAAGAUAGGAUGACAAGCAUUGUAAUGAACGAUGCUAAUACUAGAGGAAGAAGAGCUAGCAAGUCUAAUUUUGAUGUUACAAGACCUUCCUUAAGUGCUGGAAGAGGAGGUUCGAGUCAAAGAAGAGAUUGGGGAUCCGAUAAUGCUGAGAGAGGGAGGUCAGGUGGAGAAUACCCUGGUAGGAGAGGAAACAGAGUCCCAUCUGCAACUUCUAGGAGAACACAAGCUGAUGUUAGGCAUAAUUUUGGUGAGAACUCUAGAGAAGGAUCUAAUCGCUCCAGAAGCAGGGGAAGAUCUUCACCAGACAAGAAGACUUGUGUGUAGAGAAAGUCGUCUUGACUUCUGCAACAACAUUCUGAUAGGUUUGCUUUAUGUUCUAGAUAUUCAGCGUGGAAAUAUAUUUGCCUGCUUAAUAAUUUUGUGAUUGACUAUGUUAUAGAUACCCUAUCUUGUGUUGGUUUUAUGAGGUGAUAUGCAUAGGACAAACUGUGUUUUCCUCUCUUAAAGGAAUCCUGAAGCUCUUCUUCUUAAGAACAAAAAAGUACCUGUAAAAUCUGUUUUCCUAAACAGUAUAUUGUUGCUCUCCAACAGUCUUUGAGGGAAAUAAAACAAUGAACAUGCAUCUUGUUUUAUGAAAUUUUAAGAUCUGUGGUUUAAGAGAGAAAAGAAUAAGAAAGAUAUAGAAGAGAAUUCCAGUUCUAGAUUAUGUGAUGUAUGACUUUUAAGUUACCAUUUUCGGCUAUAUUUGCCAUUGUUUGCAGAAACCGUAUUACGCUAUCUACCACCUGUUUUCUAAUAAAAAGAUAUCUACUAUCCUUAUGCAUUUGCUGAUCCUGACAGCAAUUUGUAAAGCGGUGAAAAGUAGUUUUUUAUUCCAUCUUCUUAGGAAAGGGGUUGAUUGCUUGAUGAAGUUUUGUAACUUAACAAAAUAUCCUUGUUUUAAGCAUGUCACAACAUUUUUUAAUCCCGUAUCUCUACCCUAUUAGGUUUCCUGAUUAUCUCUGUUUCUGUUCUGGUCUUCUUUAGGUUUAUGCAUUUUUUCUGUUCUUUUCCCAUCUUGUAGUCUUGUUGGUGCAUCUCAUCCUAUCGCAUGGCCGGGUGCUUUUGACUGCAAAUUCUUGCAAUAUGCAUAACUACCAUUUGUUCCUUUUCCUGGUUGUAACUUGUUGGCAUGAUGUGUUGGCAAAGAAAACCUGCAUCCCCCAAAUGUGAUGGAGACACUACUGGAAGAUCUGUGUGCUUGAGGAAACUUUUAUCUCAAAUGGUAGUUAGAAUAGACUGAUACGAGUUGUAAGGGCUUUACAUCUUAUUCUGAUCAGUCUUACUGAUACAAGUUCUUUUGUUUGUUUGUUAGGAAAUGAAUAUGAUCCAUUCUCUUUGAUAUCCUUAGUGAAAAGAUGAAUAUGACCAAUAUACUGGGAUGAUUUUGAAACCAAUGAUUGGAGGAUUUGAAAACGUCACAUGACCGCCGCAGGUUUAAUGAGACCAUCAAUUUGGAGUCUUGAACAUUCUGCUGCGCACAUAUUCAUUACUUUUCUUUAUUUUAAAUUUGUUGUAAGCCUCCAAACAUCAGGAAAUAUUUCACCUUUUCUUUCAAAAAUAAAAAGUAAAAAACAUCCGGAAAUGCAUAUAGAAUCCGUUCUGAAGAUCAAGUUCUAUAGUUUCUGAUGAUUACGAAGUUCCACUAAAUCCUGUAUCU
This is an RNA transcript of Argentina anserina (silverweed cinquefoil), 3028 nucleotides long. It is a transcript of the gene named protein WHAT'S THIS FACTOR 9, mitochondrial, with no coding region annotated. Lineage: Eukaryota; Viridiplantae; Streptophyta; Magnoliopsida; Rosales; Rosaceae. The transcript has 2 exons. The record is from RefSeq and is a predicted model, not a curated record.